CAAGGCAACGAUGCAUAGCCGACCUGAGAGGGUGAUCGGCCACACUGGAACUGAGACACGGUCCAGACUCCUACGGGAGGCAGCAGUAGGGAAUCUUCCGCAAUGGGCGAAAGCCUGACGGAGCAACGCCGCGUGAGUGAUGAAGGUCUUCGGAUCGUAAAACUCUGUUAUUAGGGAAGAACAUAUGUGUAAGUAACUGUGCACAUCUUGACGGUACCUAAUCAGAAAGCCACGGCUAACUACGUGCCAGCAGCCGCGGUAAUACGUAGGUGGCAAGCGUUAUCCGGAAUUAUUGGGCGUAAAGCGCGCGUAGGCGGUUUUUUAAGUCUGAUGUGAAAGCCCACGGCUCAACCGUGGAGGGUCA
This 364-nucleotide ribosomal RNA is filed under the name Staphylococcus aureus. RNAcentral describes it as "bacterial SSU rRNA". It matches the Rfam family "Bacterial small subunit ribosomal RNA", at positions 269 to 625 of the family's 1533-position model. The record is from RNAcentral. Lineage: Bacteria; Bacillati; Bacillota; Bacilli; Caryophanales; Staphylococcaceae.